RNAcentral lists this small nucleolar RNA (209 nucleotides) under Felis catus (domestic cat). Its description in RNAcentral is "Small nucleolar RNA U3 (ENSFCAG00000050004.1)". It matches the Rfam family "Small nucleolar RNA U3". Rfam says of the family: Small nucleolar RNAs (snoRNAs) are involved in the processing and modification of rRNA in the nucleolus. There are two main classes of snoRNAs: the box C/D class, and the box H/ACA class. U3 snoRNA is a member of the box C/D class. Lineage: Eukaryota; Metazoa; Chordata; Mammalia; Carnivora; Felidae. The record is from RNAcentral.
AAGACUAUAUUUGCAAGGAUCAUUUCUAGAGUGAAACAUGUUUGAAGGGAUUGGUCUCGGUAUCCCCCAGGAGGAGCGGGAGUGUUUUCUUCUCAGCAACGAGCUGACAAUGAGUGUUGUUUUUGGGCACCUGCUCACAUGCUACUGAGACCACUCCAAUCUUCAGGGAGUCGGUGGAUUGUUGAAGGAAGGGACACAUUCUGAGUGCG